GUGGGGAAUCUUCCGCAAUGGACGAAAGUCUGACGGAGCAACGCCGCGUGAGUGAAGAAGGUUUUCGGAUCGUAAAGCUCUUUCGUUAGGGACGAACGUGCUCUUUGUGAAUAAUGAGGAGUAAUGACGGUACCUAAAUAAGAAGCCACGGCUAACUACGUGCCAGCAGCCGCGGUAAUACGUAGGUGGCAAGCGUUGUCCGGAAUUAUUGGGCGUAAAGCGCGCGCAGGCGGGAUAUCAAGUCGGUCGUAAAAGUGCGAGGCUCAACCUCGUGAGGGGACAGAAACUGGUAUUCUUGAGUGUCGGAGAGGAAAGUGGAAUUCCAAGUGUAGCGGUGAAAUGCGUAGAGAUUUGGAAGACCACCAGUGGCGAAGGCGACUUUCUGGACGAUGUCUGACGCUGAGGCGCGAAAGCUAGGGGAGCGAACGGGAUUAGAAACCCUUGUAGUCC
This 450-nucleotide ribosomal RNA is filed under the name uncultured bacterium. RNAcentral's name for it is "partial 16S ribosomal RNA". It matches the Rfam family "Bacterial small subunit ribosomal RNA", at positions 354 to 796 of the family's 1533-position model. The record is from RNAcentral.